Molecule: ribosomal RNA, 498 nt
Filed under: uncultured bacterium
Lineage: Bacteria
Description: partial 16S ribosomal RNA
Rfam family: Bacterial small subunit ribosomal RNA
Source: RNAcentral
GACGAACGCUGGCGGCGUGCCUAAUACAUGCAAGUCGAACGAGAGCGCCCGGUGCUUGCACUGGUCAGUCUAGUGGCGAACGGGUGAGUAACACGUGGGUCACCUGCUCAUCAGAGGGGGAUAACAUCCGGAGACGGAUGCUAAUACCGCAUAGGUCUUCGAGCCGCAUGGCUCGAAGAGGCAAAGAGGCGCACGCGUCUGCUGAUGGCUGUGCCCGCGUUGCAUUAGCUAGUUGGCGAGGUAACGGCCCACCAAGGCCGCGAUGCAUAGCGGACCUGAGAGGAUGAUCAGCCACACUGGGACUGAGACACGGUCCAGACUCCUACGGGAGGCAGCAGUGGGGAAUAUUGCACAAUGGGCGCAAGUCUGACCGAGCAACGCCGCGUGAGUGAAGAAGGUUUUCGGAUCGUAAAACUCUGUUGUUGGGGAAGAACAGCUGCAGGUGAAACCGUUGGCGUUUUGACGGUAUCUAAACAAUAAGCAACGGCUAACUUCGUG